UCCCCUCUAGCUCAGAGGCAGAGCGCCUGACUGUUAAUCAGGGGGUCGAUGUAUCGUAACCAUCGGGGGAAGCAA
This 75-nucleotide transfer RNA is filed under the name Bacteroidota bacterium. RNAcentral describes it as "Bacteroidetes bacterium (marine metagenome) tRNA-Asn". It matches the Rfam family "tRNA". Rfam says of the family: Transfer RNA (tRNA) molecules are approximately 80 nucleotides in length. Their secondary structure includes four short double-helical elements and three loops (D, anti-codon, and T loops). Further hydrogen bonds mediate the characteristic L-shaped molecular structure. tRNAs have two regions of fundamental functional importance: the anti-codon, which is responsible for specific mRNA codon recognition, and the 3' end, to which the tRNAs corresponding amino acid is attached (by aminoacyl-tRNA synthetases). tRNAs cope with the degeneracy of the genetic code in two manners: having more than one tRNA (with a specific anti-codon) for a particular amino acid; and 'wobble' base-pairing, i.e. permitting non-standard base-pairing at the 3rd anti-codon position. Lineage: Bacteria; Pseudomonadati; Bacteroidota. The record is from RNAcentral.